AGAGCGAGAAGAUGAUGCAUGUGAGCCCUGCCCUUGGGAAGCUUCCAGGUUGGGAAAUGAGGAAUGAGCCUGACACCCAGGGCCCAGAGAGACCCAGGACAGAGGCAGAUGUUCUCACAGAGCUACACAUGCCACAGUCAUCACUAGUUGCGAGAGUCUCCAGUGUUCAUUAAGCCUAUUUUGCUGGAAGUUUAGUCCCUGGAGGAUUAGUCCCUGCCCUUAAGGAGUGCCAAAGAAGACUUUGGAAUCUAAGUCACAUCUCCCCUGCUGCAAUUUUUUCCUCUUGAUAAUCAAGGAAUCUCACUGAUAAAACUCUCAAUGAGGAGCAGCUCUCCCCAUGAGCAAGUUCUUGCCUUCAUUGCCAGGGAGGCCCCAGCUAAGGUUAUACUGGGAAAGGAAUCUCUGGGGAGUACCUGGAAGAGGUCAGCUUCUCCUCAAAGGAAGCCUCUCCAGCUGGUGUACUGCAAAGCCUUCCAAGACCAAGUUCCCUCUUCCUGGCCUCUGGAACCAGCCUGUGUGCCAGCGCUGUGUCCCCAGUAACACACAUGAGUCUCUCCCUCAGAAGCCACAGAAGGAUGCAGAGAGAGACCAACCCAGGAUUGAUUCUCAGCACUUACUAAUUGUGUGGACAUAACUGCUCUGGACCUCAGCUUUGCUAUCUAUAAAAUGAGCACCCUUUUUAUAGAUAUGAACACUUUAAGAGAGUCAUAAAGAUUGAAGUUGAUUUGUGCUGCGCCUGGCACAGAGGUCUCCCUCAGUAAAUGGCAGCCACUGCUAUUGGGGUGCCCCAACACCCCUUGCCCCUGCCCACCAUUAGCUUUCACUUAGGCCCACACUGAGGGUGUGGCUGUUGUGUUGGGGGAAGGAAAAAAACCAUGCCUGGGUUGCAGGGCCCCCACCACCAACUGGUCUGCUUUUGUGGGAAGCAUUUUCUGAUGCCCUCGCCCUACCCGUGGGCUGGUUGACUAAGUGUCCAGCAUCAUGAGGAAAAGAGCAGGGUUCAGGGACAGCUUGGCUCAGCCCUGAAACUCAUCUGGGCCUAGGUCCAGAUGAGAGGCAAGCCUGGGAGGCCUUCCGUUGUACCCUUGCCUAUCCUGCAGCACCCUCUAGCCUGCAGGCCGCUCCUGGGUGGCAUAGCACCUUGGAUGUCAGGUGUGGGCCUUCCCAGGCACAUGGCAUGAGGGGGCACUUCUGUGGGUUGUUGGGGGCAGGAAGGGAUGUGUCUCCAGCUGGACUUGGGCUCUCGCAUUUUGGGGCCCAGCCAUGCCAGGACAGCACACAUGGGCGCUUAGUGCGAAUCUCAUGAUGGAGCAGAGGAGGAGCAAAGCAAAACCAGGGAGUCCCCAGGCCCCUGCUUCUGCCCCGCCCAGAGACAGUGGAGCAGGUGUCUCCAGCUUCUUAACCUCAACGCACAGUAAGAAAUACAUUUUACAGCAACCAAUAGACACAUACAUUUACAAAACGA
Molecule: long non-coding RNA, 1465 nt
Filed under: Homo sapiens (human)
Lineage: Eukaryota; Metazoa; Chordata; Mammalia; Primates; Hominidae
Description: long independently transcribed non-coding RNA 2874, transcript variant 7 (LINC02874)
Source: RNAcentral